This 497-nucleotide ribosomal RNA is filed under the name uncultured bacterium. RNAcentral describes it as "partial 16S ribosomal RNA". It matches the Rfam family "Bacterial small subunit ribosomal RNA", at positions 28 to 507 of the family's 1533-position model. The record is from RNAcentral.
GAUGAACGCUGGCGGCGUGCCUAAUACAUGCAAGUCGAGCGAACAGACGAGGAGCUUUCUCCUCUGACGUUGGCGACUGACGGGUGGGUAACACGUGGAUAACCUACCUAUUAGUCUUGGAUAACUUCGUGAAACCAGUGCUACUACCGGCUAAUAUAUUGAACCGCUUUGUUCAAUAGUGCUUGACGGUUUUGCUGUCUCUUUUAGCUGGUUCCGCGCCGCAUUAGCUAGUUGGUAAGGUAACGGCUUACCAAGGCAACGAUGCGUAGCCGAUCUGAGAGGGUGAUCGGCCACACUGGAACUGAGACACGGUCCAGACGCCUACGGGAGGCAGCAGUAGGGAAUCUUCGGCAAUGGGCGAAAGCUUGACGGAGCAACGCCGCGUGAGUGAUGAAGGUCUUCGGAUCGUAAAGCUCUGUUAUUAGGGAAGAACAAAUGUGGAAUUAACCAUGCACGUCUUGACGGUACCUAAACAGAAAGCCACGGCUAACUACGUG